RNAcentral lists this non-coding RNA (30 nucleotides) under Rattus norvegicus (Norway rat). Lineage: Eukaryota; Metazoa; Chordata; Mammalia; Rodentia; Muridae. The record is from RNAcentral.
UUGGCUUUGACCAUUCCCAGUUUAUACUGU